GGUGAGUAACACGUGAGUAACCUGCCCUUGACUCUGGGAUAAGCCCGGGAAACUGGGUCUAAUACCGGAUAGGAGCGCCUGUCGCAUGACGGGUGCUGGAAAGAUUUUUCGGUCAUGGAUGGACUCGCGGCCUAUCAGCUUGUUGGUGAGGUAAUGGCUCACCAAGGCGACGACGGGUAGCCGGCCUGAGAGGGUGACCGGCCACACUGGGACUGAGACACGGCCCAGACUCCUACGGGAGGCAGCAGUGGGGAAUAUUGCACAAUGGGCGGAAGCCUGAUGCAGCGACGCCGCGUGAGGGAUGACGGCCUUCGGGUUGUAAACCUCUUUCAGUAGGGAAGAAGCGAAAGUGACGGUACCUGCAGAAGAAGCACCGGCUAACUACGUGCCAGCAGCCGCGGUAAUACGUAGGGUGCGAGCGUUAUCCGGAAUUAUUGGGCGUAAAGAGCUCGUAGGCGGUUUGUCGCGUCUGUCGUGAAAGUCCGGGGCUUAACCCCGGAUCUGCGGUGGGUACGGGCAGACUAGAGUGCAGUAGGGGAGACUGGAAUUCCUGGUGUAGCGGUGGAAUGCGCAGAUAUCAGGAGGAACACCGAUGGCGAAGGCAGGUCUCUGGGCUGUAACUGACGCUGAGGAGCGAAAGCAUGGGGAGCGAACAGGAUUAGAUACCCUGGUAGUCCAUGCCGUAAACGUUGGGCACUAG
This 700-nucleotide ribosomal RNA is filed under the name Actinomycetes bacterium. RNAcentral describes it as "bacterial SSU rRNA". It matches the Rfam family "Bacterial small subunit ribosomal RNA", at positions 105 to 819 of the family's 1533-position model. Lineage: Bacteria; Bacillati; Actinomycetota; Actinomycetes. The record is from RNAcentral.